Bos taurus (domestic cattle) is the source of this 72-nucleotide non-coding RNA. The record is from Rfam. Lineage: Eukaryota; Metazoa; Chordata; Mammalia; Artiodactyla; Bovidae.
UCCCUCAUAGCUCAAUCGGUAAAGAAUCUGCCUGCAAUGCAGGAGACCCAGGUUCGGUUCCUGGGUCGGGAA